RNAcentral lists this ribosomal RNA (265 nucleotides) under uncultured bacterium. RNAcentral's name for it is "partial 16S ribosomal RNA". It matches the Rfam family "Bacterial small subunit ribosomal RNA", at positions 793 to 1055 of the family's 1533-position model. The record is from RNAcentral.
GUCCACGCCGUAAACGAUGGAUACUAGGCGUAUGAGACAUCGACCUCUUAUGUGCCGCAGCUAACGCAUUAAGUAUCCCGCCUGGGGAGUACGGCCGCAAGGCUAAAACUCAAAGGAAUUGACGGGGAUCCACACAAGCGGUGGAGCAUGUGGUUUAAUUCGACGAUAAACGAGGAACCUUACCAAGGCUUGACAUCUCUGGAACCCUCUGGAAACAGGGGGUGCCUUUACCGGAACCAGAUGACAGGUGCUGCAUGGUUGUCGU